This 1035-nucleotide long non-coding RNA is filed under the name Accipiter nisus (Eurasian sparrowhawk). RNAcentral describes it as "lncRNA (ENSANIG00000004130.1)". Lineage: Eukaryota; Metazoa; Chordata; Aves; Accipitriformes; Accipitridae. The record is from RNAcentral.
AUGAAUGCACCACCGCCCUCCGGCACCCACCCGUGGGCUGCUGCUGUCCCCAGGCGCAGGGCCCCAUCCGCCCCCCAGAAGGCUGGGACAGGGGCGUCCUGCAGCACACCCCUCCGGGGCACUCCACGCACAACACCCUCAUCGGCCCCAACCGCCCCCUUGGCUGCGCAAAGCCAAGGCCUGGGCAAAACACUUCUUCCUUGCAGCAAGCCCGUUUGGGGAAUUUUUUUUUUUUUUUUUUCCUCUUGCAAACCUCCUGGCGCUCUGGCCACCUUCCCCCUCGCAACCCCCCUUUUUUUCCCUCGCAACCCCCCUUUUUUUCCCUCGCAACCCCCCUUUUUUUCCCUCGCAACCCCCUUUUUUUCCCUCACAACCCCCCUUUUUCCCCUCGCAACCCCCCUUUUUUCCCCACAACCCCCCUUUUUUUCCCUCGCAACCCCUUUUUUUCCCUCGCAACCCCUCUUUUUCCCCUCGCAACCCCCAUUUUCCCCUCACAACCCCUUUUUUUUCCCUCGCAACCCCCCUUUUUUCCCCCCCCCCCCCCCCCCCCCCCCCCCCCCCCCCCCCCCCCCCCCCCCCCCCCCUCCCCCCCCACCUCCCCCCCCCCCCCCCCCCCCCCCCCCUUUUUUUCUUUUUUUUUUUUUUUUUCUUUUUUUUUUUUGUCUUUGCCUUUUUUUUUUUCGCUUUGCCUUUUUUUUUUUCGCUUUGCCUUUUUUUUUUNNGACCCAAGGACCCACCAUCACAAGGACAAUAAUUUUCCCUCGCAACCCCUUUUUUCCUCACAACCCCCCUUUUUUCCCUCACAACCCCCCUUUUUUCCCUCGCAACCCUUUUUUUUCCCUCGCAACCCCCUUUUUUUCCCUCGCAACCCCCUUUUUUCCCUCACAACCCCUCUCCCAGCACUCCUGCAAGCCUUCCCUCGCAGCCCUCUGUCCCUCGCACCCCUGCGGCCUUAUCCCCCCACUUGGCAAGCUUGCAGCCUCCUUCACAACCCAGGAGCCGCCUUCCCGCUUCCCCCCCCCCCCCCUUACUUAA